This 1075-nucleotide long non-coding RNA is filed under the name Ananas comosus (pineapple). RNAcentral's name for it is "long non-coding RNA (ACOM_LNC011526)". The record is from RNAcentral. Lineage: Eukaryota; Viridiplantae; Streptophyta; Magnoliopsida; Poales; Bromeliaceae.
AUUUUCCUUUUGAUCUCUUUUAUUUUCUCUCUGUAGAGGAAAAGGGUUAAGUAAACUCAAAAGCUCCUCCUUUUUAUUCAGCUAUGAGUUCGCUAAAACCUCAGAUUAUACCCUUUACAGCAACAUAGUUGGCUUUUGGGGAGUUUACUUCUUUGCUUCUUCUUUGUACCAUUCCCCUGCGAAAAAGAGGCAAAAAAAUCCGAUUUUUUGAACUGUGUUUUGUUUAUAAAGCAAUGGUACAAAGAUAUUUGAGCUCUUCUGUUGAAUUUGGUAUAUUCCUCAUUAUUUUCAGUCACAAUUUGAGAAUCACCUCAUAUUAAGAUUACUUUAAGGGUGCGUUUGAUUCACGCUAUCUUUUAAAGAUUCCUAGUAAUCCAAUGGGAAUAAAAAAAUAUGACGGUGUUUGGCUAAACGCACUAAGUAAUCUAGUUGGUAAUAUUGGAUUAACUUGGGAAUAAGAUUCACCCCAAAGUACUAAUCUCAUUCCCUUGAGAGAGGGUGGGUAUCUUCAUAUUAAUGGAUUGGGGUAAUCAUAAUAUGUCUAAUCUCUUUCUUUCGUCCUACCCGCCGACUAAUUGAUAUUAUUUUUCUUUACAGUCUAACCUUAUAUCUCUCUCUAAACUUAUUUUUCUCUCUAAAAUUCAACUUUUUUUUCUCUCUCUAAACUAAGCUUUCUCUCUCUCUCUCUCUCUAAAAUUUCAACUCUCUCACUCCCUCUAAUUUCGACUAUAUUUUUCUUUCUAUUUUUUUAAUUAUGCUCUCUCUCUCUAACUUAUACUCUCUCUCCCUUUUUUCUAAAAAGAUGUUGAAACUUUUGGUAAUAUUAUCUAAAAUUAAUUAAAUAAAUAAAUUAAUUAAUUGUAUAUUUUUUGUAAUAUUAAAUAACAUGGCUAAUUAAUAUUACCGUGCGAACCAAACACAGGAAUUCCACGUUCUUAGUAAUAGGAUGAAUAGGAAUAAGAUUCUCGGAUAUCUUUUAUUCCUAGUAAUCUUUCAUAAUGCGAACCAAACGCACCCUAAGUAGUUUGUGAAUCCUGAGGCUAUAUUCUUAUAGGAAAAGUUGGUUCUUUUUGUG